Molecule: non-coding RNA, 842 nt
Organism: Petromyzon marinus (sea lamprey)
Lineage: Eukaryota; Metazoa; Chordata; Hyperoartia; Petromyzontiformes; Petromyzontidae
Source: RefSeq, a predicted model, not a curated record
GUCGCGUGGAUUUUUCUUCGGGUCCCCACGGUUUAAUUCCCCCACAUUUAGAUUUGCCACGCGUUUAGAGAAUUGUUUUCCUGUUACAAAUUUCCACCUGAUAAGUCACUCGGUCGAGCUGGCCGUUUGUGAUGGCCAGGUCGCUUAUGAAAAAGAGCUUUACAGCUCAGUGGGCCCUACCUGGUAAAUGAACAAAAAUAGUUUAGUUUUUAGUCUUUGAGAUAUAGACGGACACAUGGGGGUGUCCCCGUGUAUACAGAAUGGGGGUGGCGGGUGGAAGUGGUUGGCGAUUUGUGGGCCCGUUCUGGGAGAGGGGGGGGGGGCGUAACGGUGAAGCGUCAGAUGCGCGGUGCAUUGGCACGUGAGCGCGUGAAAGGGCCCAUGUGUGUGUGUGUGUGACAUGAUGAACGCGCUUUGGCAUUAAACGAGCCUCUCCCACACCUACCUACCCCGCCAUCAAUUCUUCUACUUCCAGCAUAGGCCAUUAUUGUUGCUGUUGUGGAAUCUCAAGCAGCUGCAGGGGUCACGUGAAGCAAUUACAAGCAACGUAAAGGGGUAUCAGGUGGAGACGCAGGUGAAAAUCCUCCGGCACAAUGGGCCACUCAUUCUCACCUGAGUGAGCGGACGGUGCAGCUUUCGCAAGUCGGGGACAUUGGCUGGGACACUGCAAGCUCUCUCUCUCUCUCCGUUGUUACGUUGAGGACCCACGCAUCACGACUCUUCUGCCAUUCCAGCAUCACAAAAAUCUUCCCAAGGGUGAACCCAGUAAAAAAGUGUCGUGCACGUGUGUGUAUUGUCUGUGCACAUGGCUGGCUUCAGUUUCAUUUUUUUUGGUUCAGUUU